CUGUUCAUCACGUGACUAUUUAAGGGGUAGAAUUGUUAAAGAAUUCUUGUAAUAUGUUUCAUUAAUUUUAUUAUAGAUUAACUGGUUUUUUUCAAUAUAAUUCCAAGAUAAAAGUAUUUAAAUAAGUUUGUUAACUUGAAACAUACAUUUAUUAUUAAAUAAUAUGUAUAAAAAAAGAUUUAUUUAGUGGCCUUUUACUAAAUUUAAUUGCAGCUAUAUAAUAAUGGCGUUAUGGGAAAGUGUGUCGAAAUUACCGAAAGAACUGGCCGAUAAAAUUCAACAGCUUUAUGGGACACCUUUUCCAGUAGAAGUUCGUCAUUUCCUUGCCGAAUGGAUCGAGGCUCAACGUUGGUAAGUUUUUUUAUGUCGACGCAGCGUCUAUCGUCAACGCGCCCCCUGUUAGUAAUAAUUUAUCGCCGCGAAAAAGACGGCCUUUUAUACACGUUUCCCGCGUGUGGCUGUUCACUUUAGUUUUAAGGUCGGUAAGAGAUGAUGUAGAAGUUUCUCUUUGUCGGAUCAAUCUUUUCCUCUCCUUUUUUCUUACUAUCUUUCAAUCAUCAUCCUCUUAGAAGAGGGAUGAUGAGGUCCUUCAAAAGGGAUAUGAGAGAAGUUAAUCCGUACGAAAAACAAGAAAUGCUUGUCAGAAACAAUUACGCCUAUUACAACAGAUUGCAGUAUCCUUACAAUGCUUAUCACAAUCAGCAUUAUACAACAAGCGAUAGAAGGUUGUUUUCGGUAGGCGAAAAUAACCCUGCUUCUGCUAAUGAUUUAAGAGAUAAUUUAUGCGCUCAACUGAUGACCAAGGUACGAAUUUACUAUCUUUUCUACUUUUCAAUUGAUAUUAAAGAAUGUAUAGCUUUAGUUUCAUCUUAUUAUAUUUAAGGUGUUUUUAAUUUCUUUUCGGAAUUUUUAUCUUCUUUCUUUCAUGUUCAGCUUUUUUCUUUGCUUCUAUCUAUCUCACUUUCUUGUUCUUAUGAAAAUAUCAAUUUUAUAUUCCUUGUAAUUCUUCUUUCAACUCCUUCUCUGGUGUCUGUUAAGUUCGAUAAUAUUAAUUCAACUACCGUGCGAUCAAACGCGGUUCCGGAUGUUGUAAAGAGGAGACGCCAAUGUUGUAAAAGGAAGCCGUAGAAGAAAAGGGGCGGAGGCAAAUCAGUAGAAUUUUGUUUCACGUUUCAGGAUAUCAUUAACUCUUGGUGGCUCAUUAGAUUGGUAGGCCUGUGAAAAGAGAGAUGAGACCCAACACCCUUUCGAUGACUGUGAAUCGAUAAAAGGCCAUGCUUUUUCUUCCUUUUCCUUUCUUUGUCUCUCUGCCUUUUCACACCACUACUAAAAAAAAUGCUUUUUAUGAUGCAUAAUUUAUUAUUAAUUUUUUUCUUUAUAUAUUCUCUUUUUCAAUGGAUUUUUUAUGGAUCUAUUCUAGAAAAAAAUCAAUUUAUAUUUUUCUAGUCGUAUUCAUUCCAUGAACAUUGUUUCUAGGCUGAAGAACAAGAACGCUCAGAAAAUAUAAUAAACCGUUUUCGUCUGAGGGAGUGCGCUGAAUCGAUUCAAAAUCAUUUUAGUGGUGAUCAAGGAGCAAUGAAGUUAGUUCAAACUGUCCGUCAUUGCCUCAAUGCAGAGAGAGAGAUUUUGAGUCAAGUAGAAAAUUCAGCCCAACCUUAUUACCAGCAGCAAAUGUUUCAUCAGUCUGGUCCUGUCGACUUGAAUCAAAUUUUGUCAGAUAUUGCCCAAGAGAAGAUUAAAUGCGAAAACGCUUUGCGACUUUUACAGCAAAAACAAGAACAUUUCAUAAUUAAAUAUCAGGAUAACGCUCAAACUGAACAGCAAAUUAAUUCUGGCAAGUGUUCCCGAGAAGUGCUUGGUAAGCUGCAAGAGAAGAAGCGUUUGCUGCAGAAUGAAUUGACGACACUGGCCCAACAGUUAUUGAAUGAGAGACUAGCCCUUGCGGAUCUGCUGCAAAAUGCUAUUAAUGGUAUGAUGGAGGCACAGAAAAUCAUUUUGGAGGAGAGGCUUAUAGAGUGGAAAAGGGCUCAGCAAUUGCACGGUAAUGGUUAUCCAGACUUUCAAGUUGGACACCUGGACGUUCUACAAAAAUGGUGUGAAGAUUUAGCUGUUUUAACUUGGUCUAUUCGUCAACAACUGAAGAGGCUACAGUUGCUCAGACAGCAGUUGCCGAUCGCUUUACCAACUGGAAAAUCAGAUAUAGUUCCAGGAUUAUUAGAUCAGGCCACUCAACUCUUAUCUCAGCUAAUUACGAGCACCUUCGUUAUCGAAAGUCAACCACCACAAGUUUUAAAGAAAGAUGCUAGGUUUUCAGCCAAAGUUCGUUUAUUGGUCGGAGCUAAACUUUCAGUUCACCUUAACCCACCAACUGUAAAAGCCACUAUUAUUAGUGAAGAACAAGCUAGAGUGUUACUUAGAACUGUUGUUGGUCAAGAUCAACGAGCCUCUCAUAUGUCCGAAUCCUGCGGUGAUAUUUUGAAUAAUUCUUCCACUAUGGAGGUUCAGAAUAAUGGACAACAGCAAGUUCUGGUUGUUACGUUUAGGAAUAUGGCUUUGAAGAGAAUAAAAAGAGCUGAAAAGAAGGGUAACGAAACGGUUACUGAGGAGAAGUUUUCAAUUCUCUUUCAAAGUUCAUUUACGGUUGGCGAAGGUGAACUAGUUUUCCAAGUGUGGACUCUCUCCCUACCAGUGGUUGUUAUUGUUCAUGGCAAUCAAGAACCGAGCGCCACAGCAACAGUUUUAUGGGAUAAUGCAUUUGCUCAACCAGCCAGACCCCCAUUUGCCGUUCCCGAUGAAGUUUUGUGGCCUGAUCUUAGUAGAGCAUUAAACAUGAAAUUUACAGCUGCUGCUGGAGCCAGUCUAAAUAAGCAGCAUAUGGAUUAUCUAGCUUCCAAGUUAUUCGGAGUGCAAGAGGAAUACUCUAAUUGCUUAGUCAAGUGGAGCGCCUUCAAUAAGGAACCACUCUCUCCACGUAACUUUACAUUUUGGGAAUGGUUUUAUAAUUUGUUGAAAUUAGUUAAGGAAUGGUUGCAUGACUUAUGGAAAGAUGGUUUAAUUCAUGGUUUUGUAAGUAAGCAACAAGCCAGUAAUUGCCUGUUGAAUUCCGGUAAACCUGGAACUUUCAUGCUAAGAUUCUCUGAUAGUGAAUUGGGUGGUUUGACCAUUUCAUUUCUUGGAUCAAGACAGAAUGGAGCAAGUGAUCACGUUGAAGUUUUAGCCCUGCAGCCGUAUAGUGAUAAGGAUUUUAGAAUCAGAGGUUUGGCUGAUAGGGUCAAGGAUAUACCUAGCCUUCUUUGGCUAUAUCCUGAUAGAAAGAAGGAAGAAGCUUUCUUGAAGCAUUGGGGUCCUGAUCCAUCUAACGCUCCAUCGCUUGACGACGGCUAUGUCCCCACAAUCCUUGUGUCCGUAGUGCCUGGUAUACGAACACCUGAACAAGAAAGACAGCAAGAUGCUGUUCAACAAACUACUCAGAACAGUACAUUUACUCCGAUUCAAAAUGCUGAAGGAUCUAUAUCGCCACAAGACUUGGCAUUUUUGGAGAGUCUUGAUCAUUUUGGCGAAAUUAAUGAUCUAAAUACAAUGAUGGAUUACAAUCCUUGCGAUAUAAUAAAUGCUAAUCAAUUCCUCUAUGGACCGGAAGAGUCCGAAGGGGAUCCUGAUCAUAGAGAAGUCGAAAGAAUGGCUUGAUAUGUUUUUUUUCUUGCUUUUUUUUGUGCUUAUAUAAAUGACAUUGUUAUGCCCGCUAACGACGGUAAUUUGUAUACCUUACCUCUUGACGUUUCGACAUAUCUCUCUUUCUGUUUUUUUUCCCUAAAAAUUUUCAAACUAAAAAUGUAAUAUAAAUCUUUUUUUCCCUUGUUUUUUUUCCUUUUUGUAAAAUUGUAACGAACAUUUUUUUUUGUUGUGGAACUUGCCAUACUGGGUUAUUGCGCCAUAUUUACUCAACUCUACUCGCAUCUUUUACGAUGUACUGUGCAUUCAAUAAAAAAGGAAAAUAAAAGAAUAAUUAAUCAAAAAGAGGUAUGUACCACGUCAAUGAUUGUACAGCUGCAAAAACUUUCGGUUUAUCUUGUAGAAUAAUCUAUAUAGGCACAUUGUCUUCUAUCCAUAUAAGAAUUUAUUACAGAAUGUACUAAACUUUGUACAUGAAUACACUUUGAAUAUGUAAAAUUUGU
This 4175-nucleotide unclassified non-coding RNA is filed under the name Dimorphilus gyrociliatus. RNAcentral's name for it is "signal transducer and activator of transcription". The record is from RNAcentral. Lineage: Eukaryota; Metazoa; Annelida; Polychaeta; Dinophilidae.